AAAACACACGGACCGUCGGUCUAUCGAGCGAUUACACUCGCUCAGCGGAAGAUUUUCUUGUUGUCGC
This 67-nucleotide microRNA precursor is filed under the name Bombyx mori (domestic silkworm). RNAcentral describes it as "mir-2774 microRNA precursor family". It matches the Rfam family "mir-2774 microRNA precursor family". Lineage: Eukaryota; Metazoa; Arthropoda; Insecta; Lepidoptera; Bombycidae. The record is from Rfam by way of RNAcentral.